Molecule: long non-coding RNA, 110 nt
Organism: Etheostoma spectabile (orangethroat darter)
Lineage: Eukaryota; Metazoa; Chordata; Actinopteri; Perciformes; Percidae
Exons: 3
Source: RefSeq, a predicted model, not a curated record
UAAAGAGAAUACUAUGAGCACUUAUUAAAGCUACACUGUGUAAGAAUUUCUCCCAUCUAGCGGUGAAAUUGUAUAUGACAACCAACAGAAUAUUACUUUCUAGCCCCUUC